UGUACACUCAGUGACCAUUUUAUUGGGUAAAGUGGUCACAGAGAGUAUAUGCACGGUUCUAGUUGGUUUCAAAAGGACAACCUCUGUCCUGAGCCUUUCGAAAACCAGGUGCUAAACUGACCUAGCUUUGCUUUAGCAGCGACUUAGAUUAGGGCGCUUUGCACAAAACUCUGUGGAGGUCUUGAUCUUGGUCCCGGUCCGAGUCCGAGCCAGUUCCUGCGGCGGACCCUGGGGGGCGCUGUCCGGCUGCAGCUCAAUAGCCGGUAGCGAUAACCACGCGUUACUGAAGGGAGUUACAGACUAGAAAAACUUAAAAGGAAAUUGCCAAACGACGGGCAGCUGUUGGCUCUCGCGCAGGAGGACUUAAGACUGAAAAAAUACUGGAGCGUAUGGAGGCAACCGACGGGGAGCUCACAGGCAGUAUGACCCGGCUGACGACGAACAUUGAAAAACUGACUAACUCUGUUGCAUUAAUAAAGCACCUUGUUAAAUGUAUAAAA
Mobula hypostoma (lesser devil ray) is the source of this 500-nucleotide long non-coding RNA. RefSeq lists it as uncharacterized. The transcript has 2 exons. NCBI's taxonomy places the organism in Eukaryota, Metazoa, Chordata, Chondrichthyes, Myliobatiformes, Myliobatidae. The record is from RefSeq and is a predicted model, not a curated record.